This 107-nucleotide small nuclear RNA is filed under the name Chinchilla lanigera (long-tailed chinchilla). The record is from RNAcentral. Lineage: Eukaryota; Metazoa; Chordata; Mammalia; Rodentia; Chinchillidae.
GUGCACAUUUUGGCAGUACAUAUACUAAACUUGGAACAAUAGAGAGAAGAUUAGCAUGGUUCCUGAAAGAUGAUGACAUGCAAAUUCAUGAAGUGUUUCAUAUUUUA